Molecule: ribosomal RNA, 1554 nt
Filed under: Klebsiella pneumoniae
Lineage: Bacteria; Pseudomonadati; Pseudomonadota; Gammaproteobacteria; Enterobacterales; Enterobacteriaceae
Also listed under: 2 other names
Description: bacterial SSU rRNA
Rfam family: Bacterial small subunit ribosomal RNA
Source: RNAcentral
ACUUAAAUUGAAGAGUUUGAUCAUGGCUCAGAUUGAACGCUGGCGGCAGGCCUAACACAUGCAAGUCGAGCGGUAGCACAGAGAGCUUGCUCUCGGGUGACGAGCGGCGGACGGGUGAGUAAUGUCUGGGAAACUGCCUGAUGGAGGGGGAUAACUACUGGAAACGGUAGCUAAUACCGCAUAAUGUCGCAAGACCAAAGUGGGGGACCUUCGGGCCUCAUGCCAUCAGAUGUGCCCAGAUGGGAUUAGCUAGUAGGUGGGGUAACGGCUCACCUAGGCGACGAUCCCUAGCUGGUCUGAGAGGAUGACCAGCCACACUGGAACUGAGACACGGUCCAGACUCCUACGGGAGGCAGCAGUGGGGAAUAUUGCACAAUGGGCGCAAGCCUGAUGCAGCCAUGCCGCGUGUGUGAAGAAGGCCUUCGGGUUGUAAAGCACUUUCAGCGGGGAGGAAGGCGUUAAGGUUAAUAACCUUGGCGAUUGACGUUACCCGCAGAAGAAGCACCGGCUAACUCCGUGCCAGCAGCCGCGGUAAUACGGAGGGUGCAAGCGUUAAUCGGAAUUACUGGGCGUAAAGCGCACGCAGGCGGUCUGUCAAGUCGGAUGUGAAAUCCCCGGGCUCAACCUGGGAACUGCAUUCGAAACUGGCAGGCUAGAGUCUUGUAGAGGGGGGUAGAAUUCCAGGUGUAGCGGUGAAAUGCGUAGAGAUCUGGAGGAAUACCGGUGGCGAAGGCGGCCCCCUGGACAAAGACUGACGCUCAGGUGCGAAAGCGUGGGGAGCAAACAGGAUUAGAUACCCUGGUAGUCCACGCCGUAAACGAUGUCGAUUUGGAGGUUGUGCCCUUGAGGCGUGGCUUCCGGAGCUAACGCGUUAAAUCGACCGCCUGGGGAGUACGGCCGCAAGGUUAAAACUCAAAUGAAUUGACGGGGGCCCGCACAAGCGGUGGAGCAUGUGGUUUAAUUCGAUGCAACGCGAAGAACCUUACCUGGUCUUGACAUCCACAGAACUUUCCAGAGAUGGAUUGGUGCCUUCGGGAACUGUGAGACAGGUGCUGCAUGGCUGUCGUCAGCUCGUGUUGUGAAAUGUUGGGUUAAGUCCCGCAACGAGCGCAACCCUUAUCCUUUGUUGCCAGCGGUCCGGCCGGGAACUCAAAGGAGACUGCCAGUGAUAAACUGGAGGAAGGUGGGGAUGACGUCAAGUCAUCAUGGCCCUUACGACCAGGGCUACACACGUGCUACAAUGGCAUAUACAAAGAGAAGCGACCUCGCGAGAGCAAGCGGACCUCAUAAAGUAUGUCGUAGUCCGGAUUGGAGUCUGCAACUCGACUCCAUGAAGUCGGAAUCGCUAGUAAUCGUAGAUCAGAAUGCUACGGUGAAUACGUUCCCGGGCCUUGUACACACCGCCCGUCACACCAUGGGAGUGGGUUGCAAAAGAAGUAGGUAGCUUAACCUUCGGGAGGGCGCUUACCACUUUGUGAUUCAUGACUGGGGUGAAGUCGUAACAAGGUAACCGUAGGGGAACCUGCGGUUGGAUCACCUCCUUACCUUAAAGAA